This 253-nucleotide ribosomal RNA is filed under the name uncultured bacterium. RNAcentral describes it as "partial 16S ribosomal RNA". It matches the Rfam family "Bacterial small subunit ribosomal RNA", at positions 524 to 776 of the family's 1533-position model. The record is from RNAcentral.
UACGAAGGGGGCUAGCGUUGUUCGGAAUCACUGGGCGUAAAGCGCACGCAGGCGGAUCGAUAAGUCGGGGGUGAAAGCCCGGGGCUCAACCUUGGAAUUGCCUUCGAUACUGUCGGUCUCGAGUCCGGGAGAGGUGAGUGGAAUUCCUAGUGUAGAGGUGAAAUUCGUAGAUAUUAGGAAGAACACCAGUGGCGAAGGCGGCGCACUGGCCUGGUACUGACGCUCAGGUGCGGAAGCGUGGGGAGCAAACAGG